RNAcentral lists this ribosomal RNA (246 nucleotides) under uncultured bacterium. RNAcentral's name for it is "partial 16S ribosomal RNA". It matches the Rfam family "Bacterial small subunit ribosomal RNA", at positions 524 to 765 of the family's 1533-position model. The record is from RNAcentral.
UACGAAGGGGGGCUAGCGUUGUUCGGAUUUACUGGGCGUAAAGCGCACGUAGGCGGUUUGUUAAGUGAGAGGUGAAAUCCCAGAAGCCUCAACUCUGGAACUGCCUUUCAUACUGGCAAGCUAGAGUCCGGAAGAGGUAAGUGGAACUCCUAGUGUAGAGGUGGAAUUCGUAGAUAUUAGGAAGAACACCAGUGGCGAAAGGCGGCUUACUGGUCCGGAACUGACGCUGAGGUGCGAAACGUGGGG